UCAUAUACAAUAUCAUCAACAUAAACUUUAACACAAACAUGGCAAGAUAGAUUUUCAAGUAUAAUAACAAUGGCAUAAAUAUCAUGCUCAUUUAAUCAUACGGACUUACCUCAAAUGCAAUUUCGGCUAGUUUUCUCUUUUUGUCUUUAACCACGCACUUUCUUGAUUUAAGCCCAAAUCUCGAUUUUCUUGAUCUAAUAUGAUGAAAUUCACUCAUUUAAUCACUAAAUAAAUUUGAAAAAUCAAACUUCACAUUUUUGGCAGAAUGACCAUUUUGCCCCUAGACUUUCACAAAAUGACCAUUUUACCCCUAUGCUUAAAAAUCGAUUUUUAUCGAAUUCAUUCAUAUUAUAAACCUAGCUGAUUAAUUCAUAUGCUAGAAGCAAUCCAAAAUUUCCAUUAUUUCACACAUUUAUUAUCUGUUUUACAACUAUGCAAAAUAAUCCUUAUUAGGGUUUUCAUGAGAAAUCCCUUCACAAAAGUUGUUUAUUACUCACCAAAGAAUCAUAUUCUUCCAUGAAAAUUCAAAAAAAAAACCUAAAUUCUCUCAUGGAAAAACCCUAGACUUUCAACCAUUUUGCAAAAUAGUCCCCUCAUUUAAAAGCUCUUGUUUCAAGGGGUCCAAAAAUAUAAAAAUCAUCAAGAAAAGUCAUGAAAACCACUUACUUGUGAAGGCUUAACGUAGCUGAAAUUUUUAAUCUUCAAAAACCCCUCUAAUAG
Molecule: long non-coding RNA, 720 nt
Filed under: Gossypium barbadense (sea-island cotton)
Lineage: Eukaryota; Viridiplantae; Streptophyta; Magnoliopsida; Malvales; Malvaceae
Description: long non-coding RNA (GBAR_LNC006479)
Source: RNAcentral